GCACCCUUUCUGCUCAGUGGUCGAGCGUUGGCUUUGGAAGCCACAGGUCGGUGUUUCAAAUCCACCCGGGCGCA
This 74-nucleotide transfer RNA is filed under the name Phytophthora infestans (potato late blight agent). Its description in RNAcentral is "tRNA-Pro". The stretch from base 12 to 66 matches the Rfam family "tRNA", at positions 10 to 63 of the family's 71-position model. From Rfam's summary of the family: Transfer RNA (tRNA) molecules are approximately 80 nucleotides in length. Their secondary structure includes four short double-helical elements and three loops (D, anti-codon, and T loops). Lineage: Eukaryota; Oomycota; Peronosporomycetes; Peronosporales; Peronosporaceae. The record is from RNAcentral.